AACGCUAGCUACAGGCUUAACACAUGCAAGUCGAGGGGCAGCAUGGUCUUAGCUUGCUAAGGCCGAUGGCGACCGGCGCACGGGUGAGUAACACGUAUCCAACCUGCCGUCUACUCUUGGACAGCCUUCUGAAAGGAAGAUUAAUACAAGAUGGCAUCAUGAGUCCGCAUGUUCACAUGAUUAAAGGUAUUCCGGUAGACGAUGGGGAUGCGUUCCAUUAGAUAGUAGGCGGGGUAACGGCCCACCUAGUCUUCGAUGGAUAGGGGUUCUGAGAGGAAGGUCCCCCNCAUUGGAACUGAGACACGGUCCAAAYUCCUACGGGAGGCAGCAGUGAGGAAUAUUGGUCAAUGGCGAGAGCCUGAACCAGCCAAGUAGCGUGAAGGAUGACUGCCCUAUGGGUUGUAAACUUCUUUUAUAAAGGAAUAAAGUCGGGUAUGGAUACCCGUUUGCAUGUACUUUAUGAAUAAGGAUCGGCUAACUCCGUGCCAGCAGCCGCGGUAAUACGGAGGAUCCGAGCGUUAUCCGGAUUUAUUGGGUUUAAAGGGAGCGUAGAUGGAUGUUUAAGUCAGUUGUGAAAGUUUGCGGCUCAACCGUAAAAUUGCAGUUGAUACUGGAUAUCUUGAGUGCAGUUGAGGCAGGCGGAAUUCGUGGUGUAGCAGUGAAAUGCUUAGAUAUCACGAAGAACUCCGAUUG
RNAcentral lists this ribosomal RNA (693 nucleotides) under uncultured bacterium. RNAcentral's name for it is "bacterial SSU rRNA". It matches the Rfam family "Bacterial small subunit ribosomal RNA", at positions 32 to 715 of the family's 1533-position model. The record is from RNAcentral.